AGAGUGUAUGUCCCCGUAGGAUGACACGUAUUUCCGUUUUGAAUGGCACCGGCGCCUCGCUUCCCCGAUCCUGUUGGUCAAAGUCAGACAACACAGUGCAAAAGACCUUAGCUCUAGUUCUUCGUCUUGUUUCUCUCUUUAGUUUUGAAAGGUCAGCUUUGACUGUAAAAGCUUUCUACACACGAAACAUAAGUGUGGAAGAAGAAGAAUGACCUGACAGAGGAGUUGAUGGAAAGGAAGUCGUGAACUUUGCGGCAGCGAAUAGAGUUCUUUCCAAUUCUCUAAAUUUCCUCCAAGACGGUGACGGCCUCCUUGUUUUCAACAAAACCUUUUAUGGAUGAAUCUGGGUUUUGAUCAUUAAUGUUCUGUCGAAGUGGGUUUUAGAAGCCCAAUCCCUAGUUGAUCACGACCACAUAUGUCAACCAAGAUGACCAGUGGGUUGACUACUAAGCUCCGGCUAGUUAGAUGCCCUAAAUGUCGGCAGCUUCUUCCCGAGUUACCGGACCAUCCUGUGUACAAGUGUGGUGGAUGCGGUACAAUUCUCCAAGCAAAGAAUCAAACAAAUGAUGUGAAGAGCACAAAAUCUGGCUUAAAUGAAAUGGAUAAUCCUCAGACAAAUGCAUUGGAUCUUGUUACUGAAGAUAAAGAAUCUGGCAGCUCUAUGCAUACAGAUACUGUUCCUUCCACUGGAGGAUGUUCUUUGGACCAAAACAAUGUGGGAGAUCCAAGACAAUCAGGGUAUUGCUGCAGUGAGCAUCUUGAAGGUAUAAAUUUGUUGAAUGAAGGUCAGAACAAGGAGCGGGAUCGAUGCCAGUCAAGGGAUUGCAAUGGUGAGCUGCUUGGAGGUAUAAUACACUUAUCAAACAAUGACCAAAGCAAUGAAGAUGAUGCAAUUGAAUCUUGUGACAGCAAUAUCAAACAACCCGAGGAUUCCAUUGGAGAGUGUUUGGCAACUGACCUUAUACCUCCUGAGAAUGAAGAGUCAUUACCAAUAGUAGGAUCAAAUUUAGAGGUAAAGGCAUAUGAUGAUGGCUUACUGUUGGCAGGAGCAAACUCAGAAGUGGAUAUUAAUGAAGGUGAUUCUAAUAUCAAAAUUUCAAAUACCGACAAUAACGUGGCUACAAUGGGAAGUACUUCAAUUGUUACUCACCAUAUGGCAGCUAGGGAAAGCAUUUCAUCAGAUACUCCUACAUCUUCUCCUAACGAACAGCUUGAGCAACCUCAGAAAAAUGUUCAUGUGUUUGACCAUGUAAGGUCCACAGAUACGAUAGAAACCACAGAGUUUGCCAACCCCAGCUCUGAGCUCAGUGGUAGACUUAUAGAUAUCUCUAAAUCGCCAACCAGAAGUUAUUACGCAUAUGAGGGAAGUGUCUCCUCUUAUGAUGGUACAGAUGAUCAAUUCCCUGAACGACCUAGACAUUUAUCUAGAAGUACUUGUAAGGUUGCAAACUUUGUUCCUUCUGAAGAAAGGAACAGAAAGGACAACUUUCUGGUGGACAGCUUGAUGAAUUGCCAUCCUUAUCUUAAAGAAGAUGGAAUUCUUUCAUCCACUAAGAAGCAUUCAGCCAAUAGAUGUGGCAAGUGGGAUCAAGAUGAAUUGCUGGAACCCAAAUCGCAUGGCCGCCCAGUCAGAAACUGGAGGAGACGUGACAGAGAAAAUUAUCCAUCCAGGGUACCUUUCUAUGGAAGGGGUUCCCUUGCUGGCUAUGAGAUUGGUGGCCCCUCAAAUCAAGUGCAUUAUCAGUUUCAUCGCAAUAGUAGCUUUCAAUCAUCAGACAAGUCUGAUUACCUUGAACAGGACAAGUUGAAAUUAUUGAGAAUCGUUUCUGAAUUGCAGGAUGAACUUAACAGAAGAUGCUAUCUAAAUGGAAAAGCUGAUGGAAGGGUUAACACUUGGAAGGAAAAUCAUAUGUCAACUUACAAUGAUCAUGAGGCACCCGAGGGGGAUCUCUAUAAUGAGUUAAAUUAUCCUAGGUUUCCCAGAAGAGGUAAGUCUGGAAGCAACUGGCUUGAGCAGCGCAAUUUCUCAUGUGUACGUUUCUCAGGAGAGGCAACAAGCAGUAGACAUGGAGUUCAUCACUCUUGUCUUCAUUGCCAUCCCCAAGACUGGCAAUGCUCAGUACAGUUGCCACCUCAAUCCAUUUUUGGAAAUAAUCAAGAGUUAUGUGGGCUCCAUCCUGGUCGCAAAUUUUGCAAUCCUUCCUACCGCUCUUGUCCUUCAAGUCCCCACCAGUAUGCAGACCCUGAGUUUCCCAUGUGCAGUCGUGAUGCGAAGUCUGAAGAACAGAGGCAUAGAGACCGUGAGGUGAAGAAACAUCAUUCGGCUAAACAACAUUUCCGACCCAUUGCAGGUGGAGCCCCUAUCAUAUCUUGCUAUAAUUGCUUGAGCCCUCUGCAGAUACCUGCAGAUUUUCUUCUCUUUAGAAAGAGAUUUCAUUGGCUAAGGUGUGGUGCUUGUUCAGAGCUGCUCAAAUUUUCACUUCAAAACAGAACUCAUUUGGUACCACAUGCACUGAAUGCUUUUUGUGUCCCUCCACCAAGUGAGGUUGGCGACUAUAGUGAUGAUAGUAAUAGGAGAUUGGUUUCAGCAUCUCACACCAAUGCUUCUCCGUAUGCUGAUCCGGUGUCAUGCUCAGAUGAUUAUGGACUCUCAUACUGUAAAAGCUGCUCCACUGAAGGAGAUCAUGUUCCCUUCACGUCCUCUCAUGCCCUCCCAGGAAUUUCAGAUCAAAGAAACAUGUUAUCUGAUCCUUCCAAACCUGUGCAUGAAAGGAAGGAGUCUAUUGGGAAACGGUCACAAAACAAGCAUAAGAAUUCAGUGGAAACGUUUGAAUCAGCUGGGCUUUCCUCCAACAUGUCCAAAGCAGAGAAAUUAUCCUCUGAAAUUGAGCCAAGAUCAAGCUCACCCCUUCAUCGUCUCAUGGGUUAUUCCUCACCCAGCGAGGUCAUAACUGGCUCAAGGCCGUCUGGUAUGGAGUAAGCCUAUAGUCUCCAACGAAAACAAUGCAUGAGGUCAAGGAAAUGAGGGAUAUUGUUUAGUAUUUGGUGAUCUGGCCAUGAGUUAAGCCCUAUAGAAGGGCGAUAUGCUGAGAAUGUGUGGUAGGAGUGGGGAAUUCGCCAGAAGCAAUAUGCUGUAUCCAUUGCCUGGAGGCUGAAGCAUUGAGCAUUCUGAGAAACGAACAACAUUAGUUGAUUUCUAUACUACGUGUUUGGUUCUGGUUAAAACAAGAUUCACGUCUUCGCUCUGGAUUAUACUGUAGAAGUAGACACGAAAGGCUUUGAUUGUUGUAUAUGUAGAUAUUCACCCAGAUUUCUAUCUAAAUUUGUAUAUUUGUGGGGUAGGCUAAGAUUGAUCGUGUGUAAUGAAUUUUCAAACUUAUUAUAUGUAUUUGAUAUUAGAGAUAAUUGAAUCGAGAUAA
Molecule: RNA transcript, 3419 nt
Organism: Juglans microcarpa x Juglans regia
Lineage: Eukaryota; Viridiplantae; Streptophyta; Magnoliopsida; Fagales; Juglandaceae
Gene name: protein ENHANCED DISEASE RESISTANCE 4
Exons: 4
Source: RefSeq, a predicted model, not a curated record